This is a long non-coding RNA of Sinocyclocheilus anshuiensis, 266 nucleotides long. RefSeq lists it as uncharacterized. The record is from RefSeq and is a predicted model, not a curated record. The transcript has 3 exons. NCBI's taxonomy places the organism in Eukaryota, Metazoa, Chordata, Actinopteri, Cypriniformes, Cyprinidae.
CCUUCACCUGCUUUAAAUAUUGCACGUUCCCAGAAUUCCUCGGUCUUAGCCUGCAGAUGCAUACAAAUUCUCAGUCUCUGCGUAUACAGUUACUGUAGAAACCGGCACGCCGGUCCAAUGAGAGAUUCCAGAUGGAGAAUUCCAAACAACCUGGUACAGAGUCAAGGCAUUGCCGGGAACGGAGCGCAUCAUAUUCACACAAAAGCCGCACAUCUUUGUUUAAGGCGAUGCUGCAGAUGACGGGAGGAUUCAUUAACAGCUGAGAA